RNAcentral lists this ribosomal RNA (408 nucleotides) under uncultured bacterium. RNAcentral's name for it is "partial 16S ribosomal RNA". It matches the Rfam family "Bacterial small subunit ribosomal RNA", at positions 28 to 526 of the family's 1533-position model. The record is from RNAcentral.
GACGAACGCUGGCGGCGUGCUUAACACAUGCAAGUCGAACGAAGUGGCGCACGUGUGAGUAACGCGUAAUCAACCUGCCCUUCCGAGGGGGACAACAGUUGGCAACGACUGCUAAUACCGCAUACUGAAGGAGGGGAUUGCGUCUGAUUAGCUAGUUGGAGGGGUAACGGCCCACCAAGGCGAUGAUCAGUAGCAGGGUGGAGAGGAUGACAGGCAACAUUGGGACUGAGACAAGGCCCAGCAUCCUACGGGAGGCAGCAGUGGGGAAUCUUACGAAAUGGACGAAAGUCUGACGGAGCAACGCCGCGUGAGUGAUGACGGGCUUCGGGUUGUAAAGCUCUGUUAAUCGGGACGCGGUACCGGAAUAGAAAGCCACGGCUAACUACGUGCCAGCAGCCGCUGUAAUAC